GAUGGUGGAUACCUAGGCACACAGAGGCGA
This 30-nucleotide ribosomal RNA is filed under the name Aliterella antarctica CENA408. RNAcentral's name for it is "partial 23S ribosomal RNA". The record is from RNAcentral. Lineage: Bacteria; Bacillati; Cyanobacteriota; Cyanophyceae; Chroococcidiopsidales; Aliterellaceae.